CAGCAAUGAGGCAGACUUUAACAAUGCUGAAGCAUUGUUGAAGACUGAGGCAGUCCGUCUAAAGAUGAUUGCCCGCUUGGCCUUGGUGGGAGGCACUUCCUCUGAGUCUAUGGUUCGGAGGAUGCUUGGAACAGCACUUACCAAUGGCCUGGCCUGCAGCUACAGUUGGGCUGGCAAGAAUAACAAAAAGGCUUUUAAAGAAACCGUGCUACAGGAGUGCAUGUUUGCUGCUGCUCGGCAGAGUGACCGGCGGCUUACCCAGCAGGCCUUCAGCGAAUUAGUGAAAAAUUGGCUUCGGUACGCCCCUUGGCGUGUCGGGGGAAAGAAAAGGAA
Neoarius graeffei (lesser salmon catfish) is the source of this 333-nucleotide long non-coding RNA. RefSeq lists it as uncharacterized. The transcript is spliced from 3 exons. NCBI's taxonomy places the organism in Eukaryota, Metazoa, Chordata, Actinopteri, Siluriformes, Ariidae. The record is from RefSeq and is a predicted model, not a curated record.